This 510-nucleotide long non-coding RNA is filed under the name Phoenix dactylifera (date palm). Its description in RNAcentral is "long non-coding RNA (PDAC_LNC006934)". Lineage: Eukaryota; Viridiplantae; Streptophyta; Magnoliopsida; Arecales; Arecaceae. The record is from RNAcentral.
UCCUACGGUUUCUUCUUCUUGGAUCUUCUAGGGCUCCGCUCCGGUCUUUUUCGAUUCCUUAUCGGCUGAGAUAUUUCCUCCUCCUUUUCUCUUUAUCCGUUCUUCAGAAGGUGGUUUGAGUUCCCACCGACCAUAGAAUGCUUAUGACCGAGAGGGUGCCCCUCUUUGCUUGCAGGGGCGAACGACGGGCGCACCAAACACAGAGGGUGACGUGGGCUGCGUCGUGGCAUUUCGUCGCCGGAGAGGAGGAACGAGGAGACGAGCUAGGGCUUGAGAUCGGGAUGCAGAAUGAGAAGGAAGAACGGCCCGCUUGUUUUUUGUUGUGAAUUUGAGUUCUGACGACACUUUUUUGUCGUCUUAGGCCAUAAUCUACCACGACGCUAAUUAGCGUCGUCUAUGGCCGACGCUUUUAGAAAGCGUCGGCAUAUGUUGGGGUUGGACGGAAAAUCGCCGACGCUUGUAAAAAGCGUCGGCAGAAAAGGGUCGGUAAAACCCCAUUUUUUUGUAGUG